AACGAACGCUGGCGGCAUGCCUAACACAUGCAAGUCGAACGAGACCUUCGGGUCUAGUGGCGCACGGGCGCGUAACGCGUGGGAACCUGCCCUUAGGUUCGGAAUAACUCAGAGAAAUUUGAGCUAAUACCGGAUAAUGUCUUCGGACCAAAGAUUUAUCGCCUUUGGAUGGGCCCGCGUAGGAUUAGCUUGUUGGUGGGGUAAUGGCCUACCAAGGCGACGAUCCUUAGCUGGUCUGAGAGGAUGAUCAGCCACACUGGGACUGAGACACGGCCCAGACUCCUACGGGAGGCAGCAGUGGGGAAUAUUGGACAAUGGGCGAAAGCCUGAUCCAGCAAUGCCGCGUGAGUGAUGAAGGCCUUAGGGUUGUAAAGCUCUUUUACCAGGGAUGAUAAUGACAGUACCUGGAGAAUAAGCGCCGGCUAACUCCGUG
RNAcentral lists this ribosomal RNA (433 nucleotides) under uncultured bacterium. RNAcentral describes it as "partial 16S ribosomal RNA". It matches the Rfam family "Bacterial small subunit ribosomal RNA", at positions 29 to 507 of the family's 1533-position model. The record is from RNAcentral.